This 514-nucleotide long non-coding RNA is filed under the name Capsicum annuum. RNAcentral describes it as "long non-coding RNA (CANN_LNC012393)". Lineage: Eukaryota; Viridiplantae; Streptophyta; Magnoliopsida; Solanales; Solanaceae. The record is from RNAcentral.
GGUCUUAUUUGAGUAACCGGAGAAAUUAUGAAAUUUACUAGUGAAAAUAGGCAUGUAGGAUAGGUAGAAAGCAUGUAUCGAGGUGGUUUAACACAUUAUAGAGAGGGAAUAAUUUCAUUAGUAACAUGGGAUAUGAUAGGUGCUAUUAUGUAGCACGUGUUUUUGGAUGACCUUGGAAGCUUACUCGGUGGAACAAGUAUCCGUUUUCAUGCCAAGAGUGAAAAAUAGAGUAUGCCUUACAUACCUGGUUAAAAUCCAAUACCAUCCCAACUCAACUUCCCGCACUUUUAGAAUACUUAUCUACAAUGAAAUAUAUGGCAAACUAAUAUUAGCAACCAAACGUCACAUUUUGGCUAUUUAACUUUACCAAACUAGUGGCCGGGAAGUAAGCCCUUAAUUUAUCAACAAAGGGUGUCACUUUAACCUUCUUAUACUCCAAUUACAGCCACAUACCAUACAUAUUCAUAUAAUAGCCCCUGACACAGCCUCGGCUUCAUUUCACCUUCCAAUCAAC